Molecule: non-coding RNA, 73 nt
Organism: Parelaphostrongylus tenuis
Lineage: Eukaryota; Metazoa; Nematoda; Chromadorea; Rhabditida; Metastrongylidae
Source: the annotation of a GenBank genome assembly
ACAUCGGUAGUGCAACUGAUUAGCACGCACCCCCUGAGAGGAUGAAAAGCGGGUUCGAUUCCUGUCUGGCGCC